UCCAAGAUGGCUGACUCUGCGGAGGUUUGACAACAUACUUUUUCUUUUUUGCAAAUUUUGACUGUUCUACUGAUUCUCAAGGUCAAGAAACGGAUUAAGAGGAAAUAAGGCCUCUUUGUUAGACACAAAUUGCCGACAGUCUCGUUCAACUUGGUUUGCAGCGAAAGCACCAAUUUGACUGGUGUUCACAUCAGAGCAACUGGAAGGAACGACAGCUGACUCCAGCUUGGUGAACUGAGGGUUAUGGAGAGAGAGAAAGCAAAUCCACGGGUUUGUUUAGAAAAGCCUUGGUUGUUAACAUCACAUGGCUAACUGCCUAGCAAAUUGCCAUGCUGCGUGAUGAGAUUUCAUCACUGCCAAUCGUCUUUAUCCCAAUAAUACUGGGCAAAACAAUUUAAUUCUUUCACAACCUGACACCAAAAACAUUAUUUUCACACGUUCUCUGCCAUUGGCAACAACAGACAUCCAAUGCCUUCAGAUUGUUUUUUUUGGUUUUGCUUUUGAGGCAUUGCCAAAUGUUUGGUCUUUGAAGCUCUUGAGACAGAACUUCAAAUCGUGACGUUUCUUUGCCAUUGACAGCGAGAAGAGACGUCCGAUGCUUUCAGAUCUCGCAUUGUGAAACGUUCGGUCCUUGAGGUGACUCCUUUUGUCGGAAAUCCAAACUGUGAUGUUUCAGCGCCACUGACGGCGAUAGACGUCCAAUGCCUACAGGUUGUUCUUUUGUUUCCACUGUUGAGGCAUUGCUAAAUGUUCGUUCUUUGAAGCAACCUUUUUGAUGGAAAACUUGUAAUGUUUCAGUGCCAUUGACGGCGGGCCCGGACGUCUGCCGUCAUCAAUGGCAGUGAAAUUGAAAGAUGGAAAAAUAUAAAAGUAUACUGUUAGCACUGUACUGUAAAUAUGUGCGGCAGCCGAUUAACGGUCGCUCAUCAUGCUCUCCCGUGAUGACCCACAAAAGGGCAACGUCCCGACUUCCCGCGGCUAAUCGAUUAUUUUUCUUCGUCAACCACUGAGACGACGGCGUUCGCGAUCCAAACAAAUCGCAUCAUUACGACAUCAGCUCAGCACGGCUUAUUCCGGACCGUCGACAAAAGGGUUUCCGACAGCCCAAAAGUGGAAGAAAAAUGUUAAUAUGCCUGGCGACGUGAGGAUCAAAUACAAUGGCGUGUCUCGGCUCAUUGCUCCUGACUUUGGUACUCCCCAAGGUUUCUCAUUUUCUCCCAAAGACUCUGGAGUUUUUCCUUGCUGACAUGGAGGGUAUAAGGAUAGGGGAUGCCCAGGACUUGAACUUUAUUUAUUCAUCUUUGUUGCUUCAUUUGCUGUUUCUGAUUGUGUAUCAUAUUGCCUCUGCAAAGCCCUUAAGGACAAUCUUGUUGUGAUUUAGGGCUAUACAAAUAAAAUUGAAUUGAAUAAACCGCCAGCGAGUGAAGAUUCUGCAGCAGAAACACAACACACAUACUAAUAGAAAAGAAGCAAUUUAUUGAGACACUCCAUAUGGAUGCAUACAGUUAUGAAGCACUUGGGCUGAGAAUGAGCACCUCCAAAUAUGAGAGCAUGGUCCUCAAUGAGAAUAAGGUGUCAUGCCCUAUCCAGGUCAAGGAUGAGGUCCUUCACUUAAGUGGAGUUUCAUAAGAAAGGAGAGAGACUCGGUUGUAUGCACUGGUUGGGUGUGACGUGGAAGGAGUUGGGGCAAAAGGUGGUCAUGAAUUUAACACCGGUUUACCCUGUGGGGUAGUCAUUCUAUAAAUAUGAAAAAAUUCAGCCGUGAAACCUCAUUUCGGAUGGCCUAAUGGUUAAAAACAUUAACUACCACUGAGGCAACACGGGUUCGAUUCCUAUAUAGGCUUGCAUUGGUCAAGAUGCCUGCAGAAACAGAAAACGCAUCAUUUUCAAAAAUUGUCAAAACUCGAACCCGGGUACCGAGAGGCCGUAGUCGAUGUCUUGAACCAUUGGACCAUCUUUAAGAGGGUAAACUCUGAUCGGAAGUCAUACUUAUUCUUUGUAAGUCACAUGGUGAUGUGUUGUACUGUGAAGUUAAAGUAAUAAAUCAGAAGGACUCAAUCAUAUAUUCAAAACAAUAGUCAAGUGGUUAAUGACAAAGCCCAACAUCUGAGAAAGUCGGGUUCGAGCACAGCGAUAUUGUCCCUUUAUACUUUCACGUACCUUUCUAUUUUUUUUUUUUUUUUUUUACGAUGACGUCAUGACCGGAAACCUAUUUAAACUGCACGAAAUGAGCCAUCAUUCUUUUCAAACCUGCUGCCAGCUCCCGUCGCCACCCGACUGCUGCGCUCCGCACUUAACGCGAAGACGGCGGCCGUCGACGUCGAGGGAGCGCGUGCUAAAAAGACAUUCAUUCGACGACUACAAACAAAUGCAGGCGUUUAACUAAGGUACAAACUGAAAUACAUCGAAUCUGCGUGAAUUGCGUGCACUUUCUCAUAACAGGAGUGACGCUGACAUUUUCGACAAGUGAACAAGAGCGCCGUUUGACAGGAGGUAAACUGCGGGGAAAAACUCGCGAUUACCAUUAAAACGAUUCAAGGUCUAAUUUUGUCCGCAGAUUCUCAUCUUAAAGAGAAUGGGCAAAUUGAUUCUAAUCGAUCGAAUAAGCUUACCGAUUGUUUUACCUUUUCUGUUGCAGGCCACUGUCAAGAUGUCCGCCUCUGAUCACAGCACGUGUCGAGGAGCUACAAUGUCCAAGUAAGGAGAGCAGCCUUGUAUGAUUUCAUCAAGAUCGACGUUGGAGGCCUUGUCCACUAGGCCACCCAAAGCUGCGUUCAAGGAUGCUUGCCGUCAUGGAGCGGCGCGCCAAAUCCUCCUCCUAACUGUUGUCCUGGCCGGAGUGGAACAGGCCGCGAUGUGGUCGUCGAUGUCCUUUUCAAGCCCAGGGAUAUAAAAAUGACAAUAAAAAUCUGACAAAACUAUUUUUGCUUGCACUGAAUGUUUACUCUUUUCAGGUGGACGCCCACAUUCAGAUGUGUGUGCAGAUUUUCAGUUACCACCUCCAGAAAGGUUGCCUUGAUUCAGCCUGUUGGGAUUGAGAAAUUGACGCCAUCAAAAUUAGGACUUUGUGACCUGAGCCAGGCAUCGACUGCUAUCCAAGAGCCUAAUGGAGAAAGAAACAUGCACUGUUGUUGUUCGUCAUGCAACAAUGUCCUAGUCUUCCUCAAAGGUGAAUUUACG
Molecule: long non-coding RNA, 3180 nt
Organism: Corythoichthys intestinalis (scribbled pipefish)
Lineage: Eukaryota; Metazoa; Chordata; Actinopteri; Syngnathiformes; Syngnathidae
Exons: 9
Source: RefSeq, a predicted model, not a curated record